UAUAGAGGGGGCAAGCGUUGUUCGGAAUUACUGGGCGUAAAGGGCGCGUAGGCGGCCUGCUAAGUCGAACGUGAAAUCCCUGGGCUCAACCCAGGAACUGCGUCCGAUACUGGUUGGCUUGAAUCCGGGAGAGGGAUGUGGAAUUCCAGGUGUAGCGGUGAAAUGCGUAGAUAUCUGGAGGAACACCGGUGGCGAAGGCGACAUCCUGGACCGGUAUUGACGCUGAGGCGCGAAAGCCAGGGGAGCAAACAGG
Molecule: ribosomal RNA, 253 nt
Filed under: uncultured bacterium
Lineage: Bacteria
Description: partial 16S ribosomal RNA
Rfam family: Bacterial small subunit ribosomal RNA
Source: RNAcentral